RNAcentral lists this ribosomal RNA (253 nucleotides) under uncultured bacterium. Its description in RNAcentral is "partial 16S ribosomal RNA". It matches the Rfam family "Bacterial small subunit ribosomal RNA", at positions 524 to 776 of the family's 1533-position model. The record is from RNAcentral.
GACGUAGGGCGCGAGCGUUGUCCGGAUUUAUUGGGCGUAAAGAGCUCGUAGGCGGCUUGUUGCGUCGGCCGUGAAAACCCGGGGCUCAACUUCGGGCUUGCGGUCGAUACGGGCGGGCUAGAGUUCGGUAGGGGAGACUGGAAUUCCUGGUGUAGCGGUGAAAUGCGCAGAUAUCAGGAGGAACACCGGUGGCGAAGGCGGGUCUCUGGGCCGAUACUGACGCUGAGGAGCGAAAGCGUGGGGAGCGAACAGG